Molecule: long non-coding RNA, 682 nt
Filed under: Equus caballus (horse)
Lineage: Eukaryota; Metazoa; Chordata; Mammalia; Perissodactyla; Equidae
Description: lncRNA (ENSECAG00000059318.1)
Source: RNAcentral
ACAUUUCAGAUACAGCCUGCUCAUGGCAGGAGGAGAUCACGAGGAGUUCACGUUCUCGGUCAACAGUACCAGUGGUUGAGGUUCUGAGAGAGUCUUCGUCCUGCUAUUCUCAGAGGCAGUUCCAACCAAACUCUGCUUUGGACUGGUGAUCUAUGGAGCUUGGGAUGAUUGAGUAUUCUUCCCAGAUAGAAGGAGAUGAGCCAAGAGGGAAGCAAAGGAUACAGUGAUUGGGGGACCUCCUGUGAAAAAGUCUUGGGGAAUGGAAGUUCUGACUCCAGCAUAACAGCUGAAGCUGGGGAUUGGCCUGACCCAGCUCCACUGGGAAAAGGAGCUUUAUUCAUAACUACCCAAACGUGGAAGCAACCGAGAUGUCCCCCAACAGGCAAGAAGAUACAUAAACUGGGAUACAUCAAGGCAAUGGGAACGCCAUUCAGCAACAAAAAGAGAUGAACUACAGAGACAUGAGGAGAACCCCAAAUGCAUAUUACCGGCUGAAAGAAGACAUCUGAAAAGGUCACACACCAUAAACCCCCGUCAUAUAGGAUGCUACGGAGAAGACAAAAGAUUCCCCUGCAAUCCCGGUAGAACACCGAGAUCCCGAGAGAUCCUGCAAGAUCGUGCUGCUUCUGCCAAGAGUGGUUGCAGCAGCAGCGUCUGGGGUCUGAUUCCACCAUUUUCUGAG